This is a long non-coding RNA of Ostrinia nubilalis (European corn borer), 2477 nucleotides long. RefSeq lists it as uncharacterized. Lineage: Eukaryota; Metazoa; Arthropoda; Insecta; Lepidoptera; Crambidae. The transcript has 4 exons. The record is from RefSeq and is a predicted model, not a curated record.
UGUUUGUUUGUUUGUGAAGUGUUUUAUCAUCUUGUGACCAGAAUGCCGAAUGUUCAAUGCAUUAAUUGUAACGUUCGUUUGAGUCGCAUCAGGCGGCACGUUCUGUCAGAUGAGAGUGAUGUUCUGGUGAACACUAUCCGGCUAUGGACAUAUCCUAGAGAGUUGACACCAUCAGACCUUAUUUGCCAUGCUUGCUGGCAACUAGCAACACACGGGUCAACAUCCUCUGACAAUAUACCCAGAAGACAAGUUGGUCAUCAAAAUGUCUGUAUUGUUUGUGGACGGUCUAUAUUAAGGAUUAAUAGACGAAGAGUUUUAGUUGAUGGAGCAAAUGAAGUAGAACAAAGAAUAUCCAAUGUUAUAUCUCAAUGGAUCCAACCACAGCAGCUUACCCAAAAUGAUGAGGCUUGUGUACCAUGUUGGCUUCGAGCAUCAAGAACUAGGGAUGUACCACUGGUGCCACCACAGCCAGAAAACCAGUCUACAAAUCCAACUGUGCAAAGUGAACCUGAUCCAAACGCAACCUGUUCUGUAUGUGGAAAUACUUUGCUUUCUACUAUGAGGCAAACAUCUGCCACAGAAGAACAGAGGAUAAUGGAAAUGAUUUCCCACUUGAUGGAAAACCAGCAGAUGCCACCUUCAAAUGAACUCUGUCGUGCCUGCUGGGGACGUGCACAAGAAAUAGAGUAUCCUCAAAUAAAUGUAAAUGAGAAUGAUGUUGUUCAGCAACCUCAAUUUAUUUCAUUGCCUAAUAUGCGACGAGCAGCUGAAACACCAAGACAUUGCAUUUUUCAAGAAUGCAGUGGGCUAGAGCGACAUACUAUACCAGAAGACACUCGCCGCCGUGUAUUGCUACAUUUUAAUUAUUUUAUACCAAGAGGUUCACGUAUCUGCAGACAACAUUUAGAAAAUGAACAAUAUGAUAGUUUGUACUCGGCAGAAUAUAGCCUGGAUACAUUUAAAGCUGACUACAUAGAAGAAAUUGUAUUUAUAUUAAUGGAAGGCUUAAAUAAUGUGAAUUAUGAAAAUAUUCAAAACUACCCUGAUCAUCAAGUCCUGUAUUUUAUAGGUUUCACAAAGAGGCAACACCAACAGAUUUUGGAUGAAACACCCAAUCUUAAAAAUAUGCAUCGGGGUAGUUUUGCAUUAACCGUACUUCUGUGCAAAUUAAGAACAGGGGACUCUGGGGACAGAUUAUCUUGUCUUUUUCAAGUUCCGCGAAGAACUUUGGAAACGUUGAUGUCUGUGGCUAGAAAUAUUUUAAUACGGGACUAUGUACCCCGACAUAUAGGCUUUGACCACAUGACAAGGGAGCAAGUGGCAGCUAAAAAUUCUAUCGUUGCUGAUGGUAUUCUGGGUGACCCUGAUGUCCCACCACAGCAAAAACCAGCCAUUAGCAUUGCAGAUGCAACAUAUUUGUACACUCAAAAGAGUUCUAACUAUUUGUUUCAAAAGGAAACAUAUUCCCUCCAUAAAUAUAGGAAUUUGGUCAAACCAUUUAUUUUGUGCUGUUGUAAUGGGUAUAUCAUUGAUGUUCGCGGACCAUAUAGUGCCACUACAAAUGAUGCGACAAUAAUGCGCGAAUUGUUAAAUAAUCCGGAAUUUAAUAAUUUCUAUGAUGAAAAUGACAUAUUCGUCCUAGAUCGCGGUUUUCGGGAUUGCAUGGAUGCAUUGCACGAUAAAGGAUAUAUAGGCCAUAUGCCAGAAACAAAAGAAGACGGUCAUUCACAGUUGACCACCCUUGAAGCAAACAGGUCACGCUGUGUGACUAUAAACAGAUGGGUGGUUGAAGCUGUGAAUGGCCGUUUUAAAAGAGAUUUUAAAAUAUUCCGUCACGAAUAUUUUAAUCGUGCCUGUACACAUCUAAUGGACAAUUUUAAAAUAGCUGCUGCGCUACUAAACACAUUUUGCACCCAAUUCACCGACUCUCUCAAUGCUGAGGCGUUUGUAAAUAUUAUAAAUGAACGUAUGUUCCUCCAAAACACGAUUGCGGAUUUAGUUUUAGAACUUAACUUAAAUAGACGCAGUGCAAUAUUUAGUCCUAUUGAUGGCACAACCAUGGCAUUCCCAAGGCUAUCUAUGAAUGAACUAAUUCUUUUUGCUUGUGGCACCUAUCAGAUCAGACAGGCACGGUCAUACGUAGGUGAGCACUUUAGGUUUCAUGGCAUUUAUACCUUGGAAGUGAGUCGAGACCAUAUACCUGGUUUGGAGGGAACCAAUCCUUUGUUGCUUCGAGCAAAAAUAAAAUCUCGCCAUUCAUCAGGGAAGACAUAUUUUGUUUUUAUUGUGACAGAAAGAAAUAUGAAUGGACGAGAAGCAAUAAUAAGUUAUUGUUGCAACUGCAUUGUGGGGCUUAGAACUGUAGGGUGCUGCUCACAUGUAAUGAGCAUCAUCUGGUACCUAGGGUAUGCUCGCCAUGAAGGUAUAAUGCGACCAGCUCCCUUCCUAGAUGAUGUAAUUUUAAGAAUCUAGUUGUA